AACGAACGUUAGCGGCGCGCUUAACACAUGCAAGUCGCACGAGAAAGGGCUUCGGCCCCGGUAAAGUGGCGCACGGGUGAGUAACACGUGGAUAACCUACCCUCGAGCAGGGGAUAACAUCCCGAAAGGGGUGCUAAUACCGCAUAAGACCACGGCUUCGAAAGGAGCUGAGGUAAAAGCUGGCCUCUAUAUAUAAGCUAGCGCUUGAGGACGGGUCCGCGGCGCAUCAGGUAGUUGGCGGGGUAAUGGCCCACCAAGCCUAAGACGCGUAGCUGGUCUGAGAGGAUGAUCAGCCACACUGGAACUGAGACACGGUCCAGACUCCUACGGGAGGCUGCCUCC
This 342-nucleotide ribosomal RNA is filed under the name uncultured bacterium. RNAcentral's name for it is "bacterial SSU rRNA". It matches the Rfam family "Bacterial small subunit ribosomal RNA", at positions 29 to 356 of the family's 1533-position model. The record is from RNAcentral.